RNAcentral lists this transfer RNA (67 nucleotides) under Marmota monax (woodchuck). RNAcentral describes it as "tRNA.Ala". The record is from RNAcentral. Lineage: Eukaryota; Metazoa; Chordata; Mammalia; Rodentia; Sciuridae.
GGUUAUGGCUCAGCGGUAGAGUGCUUGCCUUGCAUGUGCAAGGCCCUGGGUUCGAUCCUCAGCACCA